This 342-nucleotide ribosomal RNA is filed under the name uncultured bacterium. RNAcentral's name for it is "bacterial SSU rRNA". It matches the Rfam family "Bacterial small subunit ribosomal RNA", at positions 28 to 384 of the family's 1533-position model. The record is from RNAcentral.
GAUGAACGCUAGCGGCAGGCCUAAUACAUGCAAGUCGAACGGAUCGCAAGGUCAGUGGCAAACGGGUGCGUAACGCGUAAGCAACCUGCCUCAUACUGGGGGAUAGCCCGGCGAAAGCUGGGGUAAACCCGCACGGUCCCACGGAAUCACCUGGUUUUUGGGUAAACAUUUAUGGGUAUGAGAGGGGCUUGCGUCUGAUUAGUUAGUUGGCAGGGUAACGGCCUACCAAGACGAUGAUCAGUAGGGGUUCUGAGAGGAUUGGCCCCCACAUGGGUACUGAGAUACGGACCCCAAUCCUACGGGAGGCAGCAGUAGGGAAUAUUGGGCAAUGGAGGCAACUCU